CAGAGAACAUCGCCCUCACGGGUGACUCUCCAACCCUUAUGUUAUUAAAACCUUUGUUGCUUUGGCGAGCCGCUUCGGCCACCGGCGUCUUGCUGGUGUGCGCUCGCCAGAGGACCCCAAACUCUUGUUUAUUAAUGUCGUCUGAGUACUAUAUAAUAGUUA
RNAcentral lists this unclassified non-coding RNA (162 nucleotides) under uncultured fungus. RNAcentral describes it as "sequence contains ITS1, 5.8S rRNA gene". The record is from RNAcentral. Lineage: Eukaryota; Fungi.